Molecule: long non-coding RNA, 4425 nt
Organism: Helicoverpa armigera (cotton bollworm)
Lineage: Eukaryota; Metazoa; Arthropoda; Insecta; Lepidoptera; Noctuidae
Exons: 2
Source: RefSeq, a predicted model, not a curated record
GCAGGGGUGCAACGGGGUUCGCACGAUUGGUGUACAAAAUUGGGGUGCGGUAGAUGAUUUUGGGCGUGGUUUCCUUAUUAUUGAUUAGGUACUAGAUAACUAGAUUAUUAUGUAAUACUUACAUAGGAGAUAAGUAGAUGUUAUGAUUUUUGCCAAGCUUAUCGGCAGGUCGGAACAUCGCGCAAACGUCGUGCAGACUCUACACUCGUAAAUCAGUUGCUAGCCGCCAUUAAGUUUAUCGAUAACAUAGCUACAAAUAUAAUAACGUAAAUAAUUACGAUUUUAGGUUGGAACCAUGGACGUUGACCACCAUCAGAUGUUGCAGCCGGGUGUUGCAAUAGCACUGGGUGUUUCGAUAACAGUAUCUAAGCUUUAUGCAGUAUUUACUGAAAAUGAAUGGCCGGGAUGAUGAGAUCCAAUUAUUGGGAUGAUGAAAAAUUUACACUGUAUAAUUAUAUUACGGAGGUACUCUUUUUGAUUUUUUAUCUAUCAGCAGAAAAAAGUAAGUAGUGUACUACCUAAUUGUAUUAUUUAAAAAUCCUGCUAUUAAUCAAAACCAAAGAGAAGAUCAUUAAAUAUCUGCCAUUUUUAUGUUUAUGUUUCAGAUCUGUAUAGUAGCACAAAUACACAAUAUCUACCAAAGAAGAUUAAGUAAGCUUCUCUCCAAAAGAAGAUUCGAGGCUAAGGAAUUAUACAAACUUCUUCUAUUUUCAGAAUUUAAGGACAUUCGAAUUAGGAACUCCAAAGUACCGGAUCACAGCGAGGCACACCGUGGCCCUAAUCACACAUUAUGUCUAUUCAAAACUUCUCUGAAAAUGUCUUGCAAAUGGGUUUUCGUACAUCGUUUAGAAGACAAUCCUGUCAAACAGAAAAACCAUCGAAGUAUCGGAAUACCUUCAACUGGUCGACUGAUUUCCUUGGAAAAUCACCCCUGGUCUCCAUUGCUUACAGACCCACGUGGCCGCUGCGUCGACGCUUCGCUGCGACCUUCCGCGGUGAGAUGUCUAUUUUUUUUAUUGGGAACGGCUAUUACCCGGUUCGAUUCCGGUCGUACGUACGUACAGACAUAUCUAAUAAACAAAGUUGUCUUGUGAAGUUCAAAUGUAGUCCAGAUGUACAAAAAGAAAGGCGUAACGAAUUUUUAUUGCGUAACGAACGUAUUUAUUGCGUUUUUUUUUUCGUUACGGAAUUUCUGGAUUUGGUCCCCGCGCUCAAGGCCUGCGAUAGAAGCUAUGCAAUAGCUUAAAAAUCUCUCAACCCAUAGUAAUUUCGAGUAAAAUAGUUCUCAUCAGAGUUCAUAGUGGUAAUAAAUGGAUGCGCCCAGCAUGUUCAACGAAAAGCGAGCAAGAUAAAUCUUACGAAUCCUAAAAACACGUCCAUUACGGCUGAAUAUAGUUGAAAGUAUGGUUACCCUACCAAACGGGCUGCCGAACAAAAUAGCACUGCGUCGCAGUUGUGUGUGGGCGCCCUUAGACACGGUCAGUGCUCUAAAGAUAAAGAUAACAAAUUAGGCGGGUACAUCAUUAUUGUACACUAGCUUUCCCGCCGUCUCACCCGCGUUCCGUAGCCGGAUGGUGACAAAAACUAUCCUAAAACCUUCUCCCGGGUCUAAGUUACCUCCCCUUUUAUUUUCAGCAAAAUCGGUCAAGCCGUUUUCAUGUUAUGUCGUGACAACGGAAAGCGGGUUUCAUUUUUAUAUAUAUAAAAAAUAAAACAGUUUAGAAUAACACUUUAUUCUAAACUGUAUGAAACUAAGCUGAAUGUCUGCUAAUUAUAACAUUAUUAAAAAUUAAAAAUGACUUACCAGCUGAUAAUUUAUUAUCCAGCAAAUAAAAAUUAUGUCAACAAUUGUACGACUAUUAUUGUAAGGUUAAGGUAGUGUAAAUUUGCAAAAAAAGAACAAAUCUUUUAAUAGUUUCGGAGAGUGAUAAGUAGGUACAUAACUACCUAUCUUAUAUAGGUAUGUAUGUGUUCUUUGUAAUUUUUUACUCAAACAAAAGACUGGCUUUAGGUAGCCCACACAAAACUGCACCGCGGCGUCGCAUCGCAUCGCAUUUUUGUAUCAGCCCCAUGCAAAUUUCUGCGAUGCGAUUUGGUCCGGCAAACCGGUUAGGAGGGUAACCACACAUUCCAAUGAAUCGUUUUGUGGGCAUGGGGCAUGUUGAUAAUAAACGCAAAAGCUCUUCAAAUGAAGAUAAGGACAUUCUAAAUAAAAAUAAAACAAUCUCUUAACCCAUAGUAAUUUCGAGGAAAAUAGUUCUCAUCAGAGUUCAUAGUGGUAAUAAAUGGAUGCGCCCAGCAUGUUCAACGAAAAGCGAGCAAGAUAAAUCUUACGAAUCCUAAAAACACGUCCAUUACGGCUAAAUAUAGUUGAAAGUACGGUUACCUUACUAAACGGGCUGCCGAACAAAAUAGCAUUGCAUUGCAGUUUUGUGUAAAAUAGUUCCCAUCAGAGUUCAUAGUGGUAAUAAAUGGAUGCGCCCAGCAUGUUCAACGAAAAGCGAGCAAGAUAAAUCUUACGAAUCCUAAAAACACGUCCAUUACGGCUGAAUAUAGUUGAAAGUAUGGUUACCAUGCCAAACGGGUUGCCGAACAAAAUAGCACUGCGUCGCAGUUUUGUGUAAAAUAGUUCUCAUCAGAGUUCAUAGUGGUAAUAAAUGGAUGCGCCCAGCAUGUUCAACGAAAAGCGAGCAAGAUAAAUCUUACGAAUCCUAAAAACACGUCCAUUACGGCUGAAUAUAGUUGAAAGUAUGGUUACCAUGCCAAACGGGUUGCCGAACAAAAUAGCACUGCGUCGCAGUAUUGUGUGGGCGCCCUUAGACACGGUCAGUGUGCUAAAGAUAAAGAUAACAAUAAACACUAGCUGUCCCUCCGUUUCACCCGCGUCCCGUAGCCGGAUGGUGACAAAAACUAUUCUAAAACUUUCUCCCGGGUCUAAGUUACCUCCCCUGUUAUUUUCAGCAAAAUCGGUCAAGCCGUUUUCAUGUUAUGUCGUGACAACGGAAAGCGGGUUUCAUUUUUAUAUAUAUAUAGAAAAAUAAAACAGUUUAGAAUAAAGUGUUAUUCUAAACUGUAUGAAACUAAGCUGAAUGUCUGCUAAUUAUAACAUUAUUAAAAAUGACUUACCAGCUGAUGAUUUAUUAUCCAGCAAAUAAAAAUUAUGUCAACAUUUGCACGACUACUAUAAGGUAGUGUAAAUUUGUAAAAAAAAAACAAAUCUUUUAAUAGUUUUGGAGAGUGAGAUAAGUAGGUACAUAACUACCUAUCUUAUAUAGGUAUGUAUGUGUUAUAUGAAAACAAAAGAAUAGCUUUAGGGAGCCCACACAAAACUGCACCGCGGCGUCGCAUCGCAUCGCAUUUUUGUAUCAGCCCCAUGCAAAUUUCUGCGAUGCGAUUUGGUCCGGCAAACCGGUUAGGAGGGUAACCACACAUUCCAAUGAAUCGUUUUGUGGGCAUGGGUCAUGUUGAUAAUAAACUCAAAAGCUCUUCAAAUAAAGAUAUGCUCAACCUAAAUAAUAAAAAUAAAAAAAUCUGGGUUGCUCUCAACCCAUUGUACCUACUUUCGAGUAAAAUAGUUCCUAUCAGAGUCCAUAGUGGUAAUAAAUGGAUGCGCCCAGCAUGUUCAACGAAAAGCGAGCAAGAUAAAUCUUACGAAUCCUAAAAACACGUCCAUUACGCCUAAAUAUAGUUGAAAGUACGGUUACCCUACCAAACGGGCUGCCGAACAAAAUAGCAUUGCAUUGCAGUUUUGUGUAAAAUAGUUCUCAUCAGAGUUCAUAGUGGUAAUAAAUGGAUGCGCCCAGCAUGUUCAACGAAAAGCGAGCAAGAUAAAUCUUACGAAUCCUAAAAACACGUCCAUUACGGCUGAAUAUAGUUGAAAGUAUGGUUACCCUACCAAACGGGUUGCCGAACAAAAUAGCACUACGUCGCAGUUUUGUGUGGGCGCCCUUAGACACGGUCAGUGUGCUAAAGAUAAAGAUAACAAUAAACACUAGCUGUCCCGCCGUUUCACCCGCGUCCCGUAGCCGGAUGGUGACAAAAACUAUUCUAAAACUUUCUCCCGGGUCUAAGUUACCUCCCCUGUUAUUUUCAGCAAAAUCGGUCAAGCCGUUUUCAUAUUAUGUCGUGACAAUGGAAAGCGGGUUUCAUUUUUAUAUAUACAGAAAAAUAAAACUGUUUAGAAUAACACUUUAUUCUAAACAGUAUGAAACUAAGCUGAAUGUCUGCUAAUUAUAACAUUAUUAAAAAUGACUUACCAGCUGAUGAUUUAUUAUCCAGCAAAUAAAAAUUAUGUCAACAAUUGCACGAAUACUAUAAGGUAGUGUAAAUUUGUAAAAAAAAUCAAAUCUUUUAAUAGUUUCGGAGAGUGAGAUAAGUAGGUACAUAACUACCUAUCUUAUAUAGGUAUGUAUGUGUUAUAUGAAA